RNAcentral lists this ribosomal RNA (648 nucleotides) under uncultured Bacilli bacterium. RNAcentral's name for it is "bacterial SSU rRNA". It matches the Rfam family "Bacterial small subunit ribosomal RNA", at positions 78 to 708 of the family's 1533-position model. Lineage: Bacteria; Bacillati; Bacillota; Bacilli. The record is from RNAcentral.
GCUUGCUCCCUUAGGUCAGCGGCGGACGGGUGAGUAACACGUGGGUAACCUGCCUGUAAGACUGGGAUAACUCCGGGAAACCGGGGCUAAUACCGGAUGCUUGAUUGAACCGCAUGGUUCCAAUCAUAAAAGGUGGCUUUUAGCUACCACUUACAGAUGGACCCGCGGCGCAUUAGCUAGUUGGUGAGGUAACGGCUCACCAAGGCGACGAUGCGUAGCCGACCUGAGAGGGUGAUCGGCCACACUGGGACUGAGACACGGCCCAGACUCCUACGGGAGGCAGCAGUAGGGAAUCUUCCGCAAUGGACGAAAGUCUGACGGAGCAACGCCGCGUGAGUGAUGAAGGUUUUCGGAUCGUAAAACUCUGUUGUUAGGGAAGAACAAGUACCGUUCGAAUAGGGCGGCACCUUGACGGUACCUAACCAGAAAGCCACGGCUAACUACGUGCCAGCAGCCGCGGUAAUACGUAGGUGGCAAGCGUUGUCCGGAAUUAUUGGGCGUAAAGCGCGCGCAGGCGGUUUCUUAAGUCUGAUGUGAAAGCCCCCGGCUCAACCGGGGAGGGUCAUUGGAAACUGGGGAACUUGAGUGCAGAAGAGGAGAGUGGAAUUCCACGUGUAGCGGUGAAAUGCGUAGAGAUGUGGAGGAACA